GCCAUUCAGAUUUAAAAGCACGACAUCGAGAGCCAAUGAAAUUAAACGAGGCAGUAUAGGGGCGGGGCUUCAUUUUCAGUUGCUGGAAAGCCUGCAGGACGUGUUUGAAAAGAAGUACUGAAAAAGAAUACGGAGCAGACGAAAAAUGAAAAAGCUUAUAGCCGUAAGGUAAGUGAGAGAGUCGGAGGGCCACAAGCGCCACUCCAUUCUGAUGUAUCCACUGAAGACAAAUAGAAGAGGUUCUGGAGCGCAAACGGAACCGAUCGGCUGCUGUGCACGAGGGAACCACGUCUCCAACGGUCGACAUGGCUGGGUCAGCAGUCUUCAUGACUUACUUAACGUUUGGUCAAGGAGCCACCAUCGAGAUAAAAGAGCCACAUGUGGAUCUGGAGCUGCAGGUUGCAGAUCGCUAAUCUAGACCUUUGAUAUGUGUGUAUCAUCCAGGACAUACACGAUCUUAGUUUUGCAUACCAGCUAUAGUUCCGAUGCUAUUCAUUUCUGUCAAUCAUUUCUAUAAACGUUUGUGUUUUUUUGGUCAAUAAGUUGUUAGAAGAACCAUAAGCUGCAGGAGACCAAACUUUUUUUUACACUAAGCAGCCAAUUCUGCUUUAGAGGCCUUGAUAGUAUGAGUGUACCAAUUAGUUUUAACAACAAUUCAAUUCGUAUCAUAAUCUGUGGUUGCCAAUCCGAUUCAUAGUUGAUCCAGGACAUCUUUAUCCAAAACGUCCAGCAGUUACUCAGAGAUAAAUAACUGGUACUGAACAGUGCCGGUGAAGUUUUCCAGAUUCCUUGUAUUUCUUCAAGAUAAUCAAUUAAAU
Oryzias melastigma (Indian medaka) is the source of this 818-nucleotide long non-coding RNA. RefSeq lists it as uncharacterized. The transcript has 3 exons. The record is from RefSeq and is a predicted model, not a curated record. NCBI's taxonomy places the organism in Eukaryota, Metazoa, Chordata, Actinopteri, Beloniformes, Adrianichthyidae.